UCGGCGAGUGGCGAACGGGUGAGUAUAGCAUCGGAACGUGCCAAGUAGUGGGGAUAACCAAACGAAAGUUUGGCUAAUACCGCGUAAGCUCCAAGGAGGAAAGUAGGGGACCUAAAUAAGGCCUUACGCUAUUUGAUCGGCCGAUGUCGGAUUAGUUAGUUGGUGGGGUAAUGGCUCACCAAGGCAAUGAUCCGUAGCGGGUCUGAGAGGACGAUCCGCCACACUGGGACUGAGACACGGCCCAG
This 245-nucleotide ribosomal RNA is filed under the name uncultured Neisseriales bacterium. Its description in RNAcentral is "partial 16S ribosomal RNA". It matches the Rfam family "Bacterial small subunit ribosomal RNA", at positions 88 to 334 of the family's 1533-position model. Lineage: Bacteria; Pseudomonadati; Pseudomonadota; Betaproteobacteria; Neisseriales. The record is from RNAcentral.